UAGAGUUUGAUCCUGGCUCAGGAUGAACGCUAGCUACAGGCUUAACACAUGCAAGUCGAGGGGCAGCAUGUUGGUUGCUUGCAACCGAUGAUGGCGACCGGCGCACGGGUGAGUAACGCGUAUCCAACCUACCCUUGUCCAUCGGAUAACCCGUCGAAAGGCGGCCUAACACGAUAUGCGGUUCACCGCAGGCAUCUAACGUGAACGAAAUGUGAAGGAGAAGGAUGGGGAUGCGUCUGAUUAGCUUGUUGGCGGGGUAACGGCCCACCAAGGCUACGAUCAGUAGGGGUUCUGAGAGGAAGGUCCCCCACAUUGGAACUGAGACACGGUCCAAACUCCUACGGGAGGCAGCAGUGAGGAAUAUUGGUCAAUGGACGAGAGUCUGAACCAGCCAAGUAGCGUGCAGGAUGACGGCCCUAUGGGUUGUAAACUGCUUUUAUAGGGGGAUAAAGUGUGCCACGUGUGGCAUAUUGCAGGUACCCUAUGAAUAAGGACCGGCUAAUUCCGUGCCAGCAGCCGCGGUAAUACGGAAGGUCCAGGCGUUAUCCGGAUUUAUUGGGUUUAAAGGGAGCGCAGGCGGACCUUUAAGUCAGCUGUGAAAUACGGCGGCUCAACCGUCGAACUGCAGUUGAUACUGGAGGUCUUGAGUGCACACAGGGAUACUGGAAUUCAUGGUGUAGCGGUGAAAUGCUCAGAUAUCAUGAAGAACUCCGAUCGCGAAGGCAGGUAUCCGGGGUGCAACUGACGCUGAGGCUCGAAAGUGCGGGUAUCAAACAGGAUUAGAUACCCUGGUAGUCCGCACAGUAAACGAUGAAUACUCGCGAUUUGCGAUACACAGUAAGUCGCCAAGCGAAAGCGUUAAGUAUUCCACCUGGGGAGUACGCCGGCA
RNAcentral lists this ribosomal RNA (889 nucleotides) under uncultured bacterium. Its description in RNAcentral is "bacterial SSU rRNA". It matches the Rfam family "Bacterial small subunit ribosomal RNA", at positions 1 to 890 of the family's 1533-position model. The record is from RNAcentral.